GACGAACGCUGGCGGCGUGCCUAAUACAUGCAAGUAGAACGCUGAAGGAGGAGCUUGCUUCUCUGGAUGAGUUGCGAACGGGUGAGUAACGCGUAGGUAACCUGCCUGGUAGCGGGGGAUAACUAUUGGAAACGAUAGCUAAUACCGCAUAAUAGUAGAUGUUGCAUGACAUUUGCUUAAAAGGUGCAAUUGCAUCACUACCAGAUGGACCUGCGUUGUAUUAGCUAGUUGGUGGGGUAACGGCUCACCAAGGCGACGAUACAUAGCCGACCUGAGAGGGUGAUCGGCCACACUGGGACUGAGACACGGCCCAGACUCCUACGGGAGGCAGCAGGAGGGGAUCUUCGGCAAUGGACGGAAGUCUGAACGAGCAACGCCGCGUGAGUGAAGAAGGUUUUCGGAUCGUAAAGCUCUGUUGUAAGAGAAGAACGAGUGUGAGAGUGGAAAGUUCACACUGUGACGGUAUCUUACCAGAAAGGGACGGCUAACUACGUG
RNAcentral lists this ribosomal RNA (495 nucleotides) under uncultured bacterium. RNAcentral's name for it is "partial 16S ribosomal RNA". It matches the Rfam family "Bacterial small subunit ribosomal RNA", at positions 28 to 507 of the family's 1533-position model. The record is from RNAcentral.